Vespa mandarinia (Asian giant hornet) is the source of this 9605-nucleotide long non-coding RNA. Lineage: Eukaryota; Metazoa; Arthropoda; Insecta; Hymenoptera; Vespidae. The record is from RefSeq and is a predicted model, not a curated record.
GGGCGUUUGUUGUUUUGCAAUAAUAUUCAUUAUUGGCCAUCAUCCAAGAAUUUUAGAAAAUAUCUUUUCGUGGUUAUUUUCAAAGAUGCAUACAUACAUAUAAACACGACUUUAAUAUCGAAUUCUUAUGUAACGGAAGGAAGCUGUUCCAAAUUGCGUUCUUGAGCCUAUUCCUCUCUCUCAUUGGUCUGUCGGUGGCACAGCCAGGCACGUGCCGAUCAGUACGAAAUUCAUCAGGUACGAAGUACAAACGCAUCGAUAUAUUGUUAACCUCAAAUUUCUAUGGACAGCCGACUUUACCAAUUGAUGCCUACGAAAGCGUGGAAAAUUCAUAGGAGAAGCAGCGUAUCGUCCUCGAGCUCGGCUAUAUCGUUCACGUAGGCGGAAAAUAAGUUUUUAUCGAUUACUAACCUACGACAACCAUCUGGCCCGGUCUGGCCCUCGACUAAUCGUGGCACACGUAAUAGGGGUGGAGCUCGAUUCCAAAGUCUCCCGAGAACAUCGCUGGAUAACUAAAUGAAUUCGAUAUCGGCAUCGCGAGGAUUUGGAAACACAACGCGAUGUCUGGAACAUUGUGUCACCAUGGUGCUCCUGUGGGAUUUUCCAUAAGCUUCACCGUCGGUUCGUUGUACUUUCGAUCCUUUUCAACGCAAAAUGAAUACAAAUUUUCAAGUCAAGAAAAAAAAUGUAAAAAAAGGAAGGAAUCACGAUCGGAAGAAAAAAAAUAUUUUAUCUCAUUUUUAUCUUAUCGAGGUAUGAUAGGCACUCGUAAUAGCCCCGAUAAGUCAAGAUUCUAGUAGAUACGAUAAAAACCGGAAAAGAACUUUUCAAGCGACAUCGCGCUUAGCAAUAUCUAAAUAGCUCAAUCGUUGGAAAACACGAAGCUGACGUAUCAAGACAUCUUGUUGAGAAAUUUAUUGUUGACAUUUUACCGUUGGCUCUUUGGGUCUCGUCUUAAAUCCGUUAAAUUUUCUUCUUAAAUCAAGAAGCAUAACAGACGGUCGUUAUUCAGUUGUCCCAGAAAUGCGUGUAAAUGCGUUAAUAGAGUUCAUCGUGAAGCUGAUCAUAAAAUAUUGAGUUUCUUGAUAAGGGCUAGCUAAUGACGAUGGCGAGAAAGAGACGAAGAUGAACGGGGAGCAUAGAAUCGUCUCUUCAUGGUUGGUCAUCUCCCUGAAGAUUCUUCGAAAUGAUUUAAUGGCAAGACGUUAAUUAACGGCAAGUCCCUCGUCACUGACCUUGCCACCACUCUUUGUGGAAGUAGCCAUAUUAUAGCGUCGACUAUACGUCUGGGACCUACCCCAAUCAAAUCGAGACUAAACUUCUUCCCUCUCCCAUGGUAGAGCUCGCUCUAAUCGCUUUCAGUCACGCUACGAGGAGCUAUAGGAAGAGAACGAGUGGAAAGGACAAAUAGAGUCACACGAUAUCAACGCAUUAAAGUAGUCAAAUUUUUAUAACAAUCUCAAAACAUUAGAAAAACUUUUAUUCAAAUGCAAUUGACUGGUAGGAAGAAAAAGAAAGAAAAUUGUCGAGCAAGGAACAUUCUCGAAGCUACAAGUCUCCAAUAAUUUGCAUAUACCAACAGUAUUCCAGACAUCUUUGAGAAAUUCGAGGAAGAUGAUAUAGAAAAUUUUCACCUUUCUACCUUCUUCCUGCUUCUCUUGCUUGGCGACGAAGAGGAGUACGACGACGACGACGACGACGACGACGACGACGUCUCGUCGAUGAGCUUUCGGGCUUUCGCUAAAACGCUAUAUAGUCCAGGUUCGAGGGAGAAUGCCGUGUAGUCUUCGGUCUGACGCACGAUAUAACGUUGGCAUGGUUGGAGGACUAUAGUCACUGGCUAGACUGCACCCCCGUCGAGUGUAGGCGGAGGGGGAAGGUCGACGUGGUUCGAGGCUUGGCUCGGAGGGGUGAGAAGGGAUGCAGACCGGAGCGAGAGAGGGCGGAGACUCCUACCACGGUGUUCGAGAAUCAUGGAUAGAAUUGAUAGAUCAGAUAGAUCAAGAUGUUUAAUCGCUCGUUUCGAACUUCUUGAAGUGAAUUUAACCGAUUUGCCAAUGGCGUCAACUCAAUAUCGUCGAUUCGAAGCAUCGCGAGAACGCUACUCGAGUCUCCGGAAGUGCGAAGCGUCGGCUGUCUGGCGAACGAACGAACGGAUGGUUGGACGGAUGGAUAGGAUACGCAGGGACAGGUGGCUCUUCGACGAUCCUAAGUGGGCAGGAAGGACACCCGGGCUCUGACGAGGGGCGAGAGACAGACGGAUGGACUAGCUUGUUCGCUUACAAGUCAGAGAGAGAGAGAGAGAGAGAGAGAGAGAGAGAGAGAGAGAGAGAGAGAGAGAGAGAGAGGGUACAGUUUCGUGUUCGCCCGAUGCGUGCAAUGCAAUUUCCCGCAGGGCCGUCUGUCCGCUUGUGCGGUCGUGCAUGCCACUUACGCCAUUGUUCCUCCCCCUUUUCGCAUACGAAAGUGAACAUUCCCGAGAUCCGGGAGGAAUAUAACGCGAGCGAGCUGCUGACCCCUUGUCUCAAGGCGUAACACCUCGUCUACGAGAUGUAACUGAAUAAUGCUCUCUCUACCUCCCUCUCUAUCUCAUCAGCAUUAACAUCAGGAUGUAGAUCUAAAAGAUGAAUAUCUCUUGGUCGAGCAAGCUCUCGGAAUGCGAGAGAAGAAAGGAAGGAAGACAUUCAAGGAUCGAUUCGAGCAAGCGGAAAACUAUGCGACUGGAGAAUAAUUUAUGCGAUAUUUUCCUGCAAAGCGGUACCGUGCGAGGGCAUGAAUUGGAAACGUUCCACUUGGACUGGUUCCAUCGGUCCAAGAUAGGACGGAUCAUGCAAGAGUUUUCGCGCGUUUUCGUUUCCUUCUGACCGAAUCCAGAACUCGUUCAUCCUUUUUAAUAUUUUCUUUUUUUUUCUUUUUUAUCAAACUUGAAGACUGAUUUUGAAAAAUUGAGAAAAGAGUAACUCUGUUGUACGUUUUCGACGCCUCGAGGGGCAACGUUAACACUUGGAAUUCGUUCAUUGUUCGAUUCUCGAUACGGUGAAUAAAGUUGCAUUCUGAAGGGCCAUCGUCGUGCAUCAAAAACGAAGGGGUCCGCGAGUUGUAGCGCUCUGUCGUCGAGAGUAAAGCUGCCGAGGGGCAGAAGGGAGUGAACCUCGCCGACCGUAGGGAGGGGAAGCAGCGAAGAGUCAUGACGUCAGCCCUCUUGUCUAAUCGUUCAGCCGUCUGUCCGACGACGGCAACGACGACGAUGACGACGACGACAACGGUGACGGUCGACGUUGUACCAAAGAGAGUGCACGCAGACUUUGACGUAACGUUUCAAUGUCAUGGUUGCGCGUCAACUCGAAUCGACCCGCCAUCCAUCCUACUGCAUAAAGUUUCAUCUCCAUUCACUCGUGUCAGAAACAACAAGGGUCGUUUGACACGGAUAACGAUGAUGACAAUGGCGAGGAGCUUUGCGUGUCUACGUUGGAUUAAAAAAUUCAAAUGCGAAUGUGGAAAGAAAAACGAGCUACAAAUUACGAUCUUGUCCAUACCUACCAAGAAAUUUUUAUCGUAGCACGAACGAACGAACGAACGAACGAACGAACGAACGAACGAACGAACGAACGAACGAAAGAAAGAACAAACGGAAGAGACCGUCUCUUUCUCUUUCUUCGGUAUGUUUUACCAGACGAAGCAGCCGCUUCGUUUCUAUCGUGUUUCUUACGAUUCCGUUAUUCCUCCCUGUACAAAUUCUCAUUAAAACCAGGAGGUAAAAACGUUAAGUGUCUUACAGUGUCUCGCAAUUACCAACAUAGGGAAAAUAUAUAUAAAGUAACGAAUCUAAACUCAUUUAAAGACUCGUGGAAAAGCAGAAACGUCAUGGGUUCAUUGUAACUGUCGAUUAAAAGACACAAGUGGAAUAAUGGUGUAACGAAAUAGAAAGGAUUGAUUUCAUAUAGAAUUAGUUUUUAGAUGAAUCAUGUCUUUGCAUAACGUCAAUGUAAAAUUCUCGAGAGAUAGGUGUUUGAGUUUGCAGGAGGAGAAACGCUCUGACGUUUCUUGGCAGUGCGAACAACGUGUACACUUUACAACGACAGGGUGAGAAAGAGAGAGAGGAGAAGAAAGAGAAGGAGAUGCAAAGCGGUUGGUCGGAGUCGAAGGAAAGCGUAGAAAGACGUUGUUGACGAGACGAUAUAUCCAAAGGUAGUAGCAGCCGGUGUUGACAAAACACCGAGACGUCGAUAUGUGUACCCGCGGAAGGCGCUUCAUAGCAGUCGAUGACACAGCCAGCGAGCAGACGGUCUGACCUGGAUGCCUUGUUUGCUUCGCUACCAUCGGCUCGACCCGUCUGCACGCUCCUCUCUCUCUCUCUCUCUCUCUCUCUCUCUCUCAAACUUGUACACAGAUACAGGUCCCUACAUGCAUUCGCACACAGUCGCGUCUAUACUCCAUAUAUCCAGACUCGAUACUGCAACGUGCGUGCCAUGAGGUUUUGUCGCAACCUCGAGCACGUGUAUACUUACACUUUGUGUAAGUGUGUUUGCUCGUGUUUCGUGUGUACCACAAAGCUUGCAGAAAGAGAUAGAGGUACUCGUAGUGUAAAGUCUAGGUUUUUCCUUCACGCUGCUUGGUAAAUAAAAGACACAGCUUGUUUGAAAUUUCCUCGCUCGCUUUUUUUUUCAAAACUUUACGUUUUAUGUGAUUUUCUCAAAGAUUGAUCUUGAUCGUUCCCUGGCCAAGUUGGAUUAAGUAUACCGAUCUGUUAUACUUUUUCUAACGCAUCUCUAAAUAAGAGUAAUGGACCACGAGCAGUUACGUUUCACAGUAGGAGCUCGAAGGAAAUAGUGAUUCAUUUCGUGAUACCCCACAACGAGAAAAAUGUCCCUGGAAAGGAGCUGCCAUUUCUACGUAAUUUGCAGUGAAAGAGACACUCGCCGUCUCCGCGUUUCUCUCCUCGUAAAAAGUUUCUUCUUCGAGAUUGGGUCGUGAGAUGAGUACUCGCGACGAUAUAUCGCUGCGUCUACUCGUCUUUACGCUCGUUAAAAGGAGGAAAAGUAUUCGAACCUAGGUAGAAACAUUGAAUACCUAAAUAGAAAUUGACUAAUUAGAUGUGUUUAAUAAAACGUCUUAUAAUUACUUGAAAUCAUUUUUGCUUUUGAAAAUUGUAUUAACGAUUUAAUUUAGUAUUUCAGCGCUUAUGACUUGAACGAUUUAUGACACACGGUCGUGAACUUGAUUAUUGAAAAAAACAAAUAAACAAAUAAAAAUUUAGAUCUUUUCAAUGGAUAUUUCAUUUAUUGUCACGAAGCAGACGUUCAAAGGGAUCUCUCUUUUUGUAUCUAAUAAUUUACGAUUACGAUUUCACUUGGCAAUUUUUUUUGUUUACUGGGUGGGAGAAAAGAGAAAGCAAUGAAAGUCGUCGAGGUAACGCGUGGGCGAUAGAUAACCGUUAGGAGCAUCGUAAUAGGCGCAUGAGUUAAUUAGAGGGAUUUAAGAGCCGACAAGCAUACCGGCAUUACGUGCACCAAUCGAGUGAAUCGCUGUCUCUCUGUCGUCGAUAAUUACCAAUACAACAACAACGAUAGCGACAAAGUGCUUUCGUCUUAAAUCGAGGAAUUCCAAGUAUAGUAGUCGAUGAUUAAAUCAAAGUAUCAUCACGGCGCCAGUUAAUUAAUUAGAAAUUUGCUUAAUUAAGUGAUUUAGUAGGCCGAAUACCGUAGCAAUUAGCACGUGUACCCGCCGGCGUCUGAGAGGAGCGCCGAGUAAACAGAGGCAAGACUAGAGAAAGAGCCUUGGGAAGAGGCAAAGAAAACAAAGACUGGUGUUAUUUCUUACCUAAUCAAAAGUAAGUAAAAAGAAGAGAGAGAGAGAGAGAGAGAGAGAAUUCUCUAAUUGAAAGUAUAGAUAAAAUAUGUUAGAAAUGUAAACGUCAAAUCGAAUACGCUGCGUCAGAGUUGCGUCAGAGAAAAACGCAUUCUGCAUGGCUUUCCAUUUGUAUGCACCCUUCUUGAUGCGUUUCGGACAAUGAUUGGAUACUUCCAUUAGCGCGCAUAGAUCGAACUUAACGUUUAAAUUCUUUCUUCUUCUCUCUCUCUUAUGCGCACGUACAGUGAACGUACCUGUAUUUUAAACAUAUCGAAAAUUAACAGGAAGUUUAAUUAAAAAACGUAAAUUAAGGUUCCAGUGAUUAAAAUACCGACUGAUUUUCUACAGUCGUUACCACAAAUUUCCAAUUAACUUUUUUGUUUUUUCUUCUUUAUUUUUCAGCAAACUUGAAGAUUGGAAAUAUAUUUUCCUCUUCCUCUCUCUCUCUCUCUCUCUCUCUCUCUCUCUCCUUCGCGUUCUUUUAUUUGUAUCCCGUCUGAAGCCUUAAGAGAUUUCUCUGAAAUAUUCCAAAGCCCUGGUUACGCGUAUCAAAGGAAUCCUCGCGCUCAUUACACAUACUUUCCCCUUUCCGCUUUGAAACAUAUAAAGCGAGGUUGCGAAGUUGUAAAAGAGGUGCUUAAAUUCGGUGACUUUCUUCGUUGAAGGAAGAAAAAAAAAGGAAGAAGGAGAGAAUGUCUACAGCGUACGCCAGGUCUUCUUAGAGCAUACACAGACACAUACAUGGAAUAUAUCGAAGAUGGCGUCUAGGUAGACUAGACGAUAGAAAAAUAGAAAAAAGAAUAGAUUAGACGAUGGCUAGACUUAUCUCCUAUAGACAAACAUCCUUGUACACAUGGGAUCAAAUUUUUGCGUUCUCUUUAAACCCAAUCGCGGAAAACGAAUCGAGUACCAUAGAAAACGAACGUGGAAAACGAACGGUGAACAAUAUUUCCUAGCACCGUCGCGCCGGUCGCCGAUAAAUACAGACUUCGCGCAUAGCGGCGCCCUACCGGUUUUGCGGUAUCUCGAACGGCUUAAUGGCACUGUUAACUGCCGUAUUAUUUAACGGGGAUUUAUGCAUUGCAGUCUGCCGAUUAAAACACUACGGUGGUUAGGGAGAGGGGGGUAGGGAGAGCGUGGUAGAGGACCAAGCGAAAGGGUGGCGAUGAGGUUUGGGUGCUAUGAGUGGAAGUGAGAUAGAAAUGGAGAGGGAAACAGAGAGGGAAAGAGAGAGAGAGAGAGAGAGAGAGAGAAGCGGUGGCGACUAGAGCCGACAAGGAUGAGAGGGUUGGCGGAGUGCACGAUACCCUUAAUCCUUCAUAAUAGCUUGCUCUGAUAAACAGUCUACUCCCUCACCCUUCCCAUCUUUUUCACCACGACUGGAAACUCGGGACUCGUAAAAAUCCUCAAACCGAUUAUAUACAUAUAGGCACUAUUCCGUAGAAUCUGAUCAUCGGCAGAAAGAGUAGAAUAAUCUGGUAAAAAGUGAUAUAGCAACAAAUCGUUCGGUGAAUACUUAAAGAGAAGAAGAAGAAACGAAGAGUAAGGAAGUAGAAAGAGUGAGAGACGAAAGGCUCGUGAAUCAUCCACGUCACGAUCGCUGCCAAUGGGAUCUCGGAUCUCCCGGGCGAUGCUAUUGGAGGAUUUACAUCUCCUGUCUGUGCCGAAUGCCAGAGGAACUUGGUUCGUGUUGCUGCUGCUGCUGCUAGUAGUGCUGGUGCAACGAGGACGAUGGUAAAUCCGGUUGGGCAUAUAUUCGCGGAUGCGCGAAUACGACGAGCUCUCGUGGAGGGAAAAGAGAUGGAACGAAAGGAGAAGGAGGAAGAGGGAGGAAAGAUAGAGCUAGAAUGCGUAUAUGUGUGAGAGAGAAAGAGGAGAGAGAAACGGAGCAUGGUCGAUGUGUCUAGCCUAGCCCGGUUGGCUGGCUGGCUGGCUGGCUGGCUGGCUGGCUGGCUCGGCUGGCUGGAUGAACCAGGGACCGUCUAGCUUGCGCUGCCCCGCACAAACUCGGCAUUAUCUAUACGUCUAGACACCCCUGCGCCACACCAGAGAAAAGAGAGAGAGAGAGAGAGAGAGAGAGAGAGAGAGAGAGAGAGAGAGAGGGAGAGAGAGAGAGAGGGAGAGAGAGAUAGACUGUAGGCAGCUUGGCGUACUGCUUGUAAUUUACAGCAAGCCCCACCGUGUCUUUCUACGCUCGCUCUAACCUACCAACUUCCUCUCCUUCUCUUCUUCUCCAUCUUGGUCCGUCUCGUUACACUCUCUCCUAUCUAGCUAGUCUUCCUGUGUAAACUCGCCCCACAAGAUAUAGUUAUACAACUUUGUUGUUAUCACGCUAAGAUGCAACCACCAAUCGUGGUCAGUUUGAAUUGAUUCAAAUUGUAAUAAAUAAAUCUUUUAUGCGAUGCUCUUGAUGAGAAAUUUUAGUCGUCGUUUCUUUAAAUUUAAUUAGAGCUCGGUCCCAUUUGAUCGUUUUAGAAAAUAAUUGAAUUCCUUGGAAAAUUUCACUCUGGGAUGGUGUUUGUUAACAGGAUCGUAACUUUUAGCUCUUGGGGACCACGAAAAGAGCACGCACUUUCUCAGACGGUAUCGUUACGAGAUUAAACCGACCGAAUCGCCUUAGACUCGACCUUCAAAGAAACUCUCUUGUCCACCUCCAAGUACCUAGAGUAAGAAAGGGAGAGAACACAAAGUUUCUCCGGCCGGGACUCGAGAGAGGCAAGAAUUAAGGAAGAAAGGUAGGAAGGAAGAACACGAGUCAGGUGCGUACGACGUCGAACUUGGUGAGUUUCGAGAACGCAAUUUUCCCAGAGGAAUCGGUCCUCGUUAAUGCCAUGGCGACCAUAAAGUCGAACAGAGAAGAGAGUAAGAGAGCAAGAGAGAGAGAGAGAAAGUUAUACUUACUAAGAAGAAGAAGAGAGUUAAAGGAGGAAGCUCGGAGGUUGUAGCCGUCGUCGAAGUUCGAGGGGUUCAACGAGCUGACGCUUUAAGCAAUGUAACUUACAGAAACUACGCUUCCGAGCGGUCUCGGGCGCAGAUUAGUCGUAAUCUCGGCGCAUUGCACUCUGCAGAUCCACUUCUCCUCUUCCUCUCUCUUCCUCUCACCAUUUAUGUUCGUCGUGAGAAAGAGAGAGAGAGAGAGAGAGAGAGAGAGAGAACUCUAUCGACGUCUCCUUCUCCUCCUUUGCGACCUUCCUCGUGCUUCCUUCGUGUGUUACACGACGAAGUCGCACCGAUAUAACACCGAGUCUCGUAACUUCCAACACAUACACAUACCCAGCUUAGUCGGUGCUUAUAUCGCCGCUUUGAUUAUUUCCUAGAGGCUUAAGCCAAGUCUACGCCCUCGCUCGCCUCGCUGCUAUCAACGGGUUACAACCGCGGCGAAGAUUAAACGCUUUCUCGAUUUACGAGUCCGCGGUAUCCCUUAGCCUUCGGCUUUUCUUAAGGAACAUGGCUUGAUUCAUCUAUAUUUAGCUCUCGCUAUUGGUCGAUAUUCGAUGUAAACAACUGAUGUCUUCGUGCUUCCCAGAGAGAAAAAAAGAUAUUUUCUUUGUGAAAAGAGAACAUAAAAAUUUCUUCUUUUUCUUUUUUUCAUCGAUUACUCGACCUGGUAUAAAAUAUUAAGAAUAGGAUUUAAAUCUCGUGACAAAUACGUUGGCAACGCCUAACGUGGUAACUAUAUUGAACAAACAAGAUAGAAUAUGUUCGUUGGUGAGUUAGAACGAGAGUCGCUUUAAUAAUUAAUUAAUUAAUGAGAC